UUGUCGGCAUCGAUAGAUUUUGAAAGCUCCGGCGGUUAAAGAUGAGUAUGCGUCUGAUUAGCUAGUUGGUGAGGUAACGGCUCACCAAGGCGACGAUCAGUAGGGGAUCUGAGAGGAUUAACCCCCACACGGAUACUGAGACACGGAUCCGACUCCUACGGGAGGCAGCAGUAAGGAAUAUUGGACAAUGCCCGCAAGGGUGAUCCAGCCAUGCCGCGUGCAGGAAGACGGCCCUAUGGGUUGUAAACUGCUUUUACACCGGAGAAAACCUCCCCUCGUGAGGGGAGCUGAUAGUAUGGUGAGAAUAAGCAUCGGCUAACUUCGUGCCAGCAGCCGCGGUAAGACGAAGGAUGCAAGCGUUAUCCGGAUUCAUUGGGUUUAAAGGGAGCGUAGGUGGCCUUAUAAGUCAGCGGUGAAAUCUCUGGGCUUAACCCAGAAAUUGCCAUUGAUACUGUAGGGCUUGAGUACAGUUGCUGUGGGCGGAAUAUGACAUGUAGUGGUGAAAUACAUAGAGAUGUCAUAGAACACCGAUUGCGAAGGCAGCUCACAAAACUGUAACUGACACUGAGGCUCGAAAGUGCGGGGAUCAAACAGGAUUAGAUACCCUGGUAGUCCGCACUGUAAACGAUGAUUACUCGCUGCUGGGAGGUAACUUUCAGUGGCUUAGCGAAAGCGAUAAGUAAU
This 684-nucleotide ribosomal RNA is filed under the name uncultured Bacteroidota bacterium. RNAcentral describes it as "bacterial SSU rRNA". It matches the Rfam family "Bacterial small subunit ribosomal RNA", at positions 182 to 868 of the family's 1533-position model. Lineage: Bacteria; Pseudomonadati; Bacteroidota. The record is from RNAcentral.